This 628-nucleotide small RNA is filed under the name Chrysosporium sp. SA2013. Its description in RNAcentral is "eukaryotic LSU rRNA". The stretch from base 261 to 414 matches the Rfam family "5.8S ribosomal RNA". Lineage: Eukaryota; Fungi; Ascomycota; Eurotiomycetes; Onygenales; Onygenaceae. The record is from RNAcentral.
GGAAGUAAAAGUCGUAACAAGGUUUCCGUAGGUGAACCUGCGGAAGGAUCAUUAAAGUGUUUCGGAGCCUGGUCCGGGCAUCUCAACUUGAGGUGUCUGUGCCAGCGCCCCCACACGUGUUUACUCAACUUGGUUGCCUUGGUGAGCCUGCCCUCGUGGCUGCCGGGGAUGCCUCACGGCGUCUCGGGCUCGCGCUCACCAGUGGAUCAAUUGAACUCUUCAUGUAUACAGUCAGUCUGAGCAUUAUGCAAAUUAAACAAAACUUUCAACAACGGAUCUCUUGGUUCCGGCAUCGAUGAAGAACGCAGCGAAAUGCGAUAAGUAAUGUGAAUUGCAGAAUUCCGUGAAUCAUCGAAUCUUUGAACGCACAUUGCGCCCUCUGGUAUUCCGGGGGGCAUGCCUGUUCGAGCGUCAUUGCAACCCCUCAAGCACGGCUUGUGAGUUGGGCCAUCGUCCCCAGUGGACGGGCCUGAAAUGCAGUGGCAGCACCGAGUCCUGGUGUCUGAGUGUAUGGGAAUCUCUAUCGCUCAAAGACCCAAUCGGCGCUGAUGUCAAUAUCUUUAUCCAGUUUUGACCUCGGAUCAGGUAGGAGUACCCGCUGAACUUAAGCAUAUCAAUAAGCGGAGGA